This 347-nucleotide ribosomal RNA is filed under the name Aporrectodea longa. RNAcentral's name for it is "partial 12S ribosomal RNA". Lineage: Eukaryota; Metazoa; Annelida; Clitellata; Crassiclitellata; Lumbricidae. The record is from RNAcentral.
AGGGGAAACUGUCUCAUAACUCGAUAAUCACGAAAACCUUACCCUCUCUAGACCAAACAGCUUGUGUACUGCCGUCGUAAGCACACCUCUAAAAGCACAAGUAUGCAAUUAUGACAAACCUCAUAUACGUCAGGUCAAAGUGCAGCUUAUGAAAGGGCGACGAUGGGUUACACCCUAGAUAAAGAUACAGAAUAUGAUACUAAAAGUCAUAUAAAGGUGGACUUGGACGUAACAAAGAUGCUAAAUCAAAAUGAAGCCGAAUCUGAGACAUGUACACAUCGCCCGUCACUCUUGCCCAAAGGUGAGAUAAGUCGUAACAAAGUAGGUGUAACGGAAGUUGCACCUGU